Molecule: long non-coding RNA, 3712 nt
Organism: Sarcophilus harrisii (Tasmanian devil)
Lineage: Eukaryota; Metazoa; Chordata; Mammalia; Dasyuromorphia; Dasyuridae
Source: Ensembl
GUCAGUAAGCCAUCUGAGGGGGAAAGUGCGUCCAGGACCAGGCUCCGGAUCUGUCUUCUGCCUCCCCGGUCACUGCCUCCCCGGUCACUGCCUCCCCACCGGCUCUGGGGUCUCUUCUCCGAAAUGCGGCUUAGCGCGCCCAGUUGGGAUUCUGGGACACAAUUAUAUCGGAUUGUGCCCAGCUUUCUGUCCACUGGGUCGGUGGUAGAUGUUGUGGACAGCUACUCUAGCUGUAGAGAUUUCAGAUGGAAGAUGAUGACUGUCUCCAUCUGAUACACUAUGAUAAAUAUGGCAGCUCUAUAUAGCUAUAUAGCUCAAGCUGACUCGGUCUGUGACAGAGGAGACUCAACGAGUGGACUGCCAAACAUGGGUUGAUGACCCUCAGUCUCUAGUACAGAAUAAGUUGGUAUCUGAAUUAAAGAUGGCCAGUUCCAGGAUCACAGCCUAUGUCUCUUCAUGGACCUAUUAUUGACUCCAAAGUUCCUGCAGCCUUAUUGUUGAAUUGCACAGCUUCAGUUAAAGGAAGAAAUAAGAGGAGUACCCCCCAUUCCAUAGGCAUAAGCCAUUCUGUUGGAAUAAUAGACCCAUUUCUGUCCACAGAAGAGUCAGUGGGGGCAGUCCAAAAGCUGCUAGAGUUUUUCUGAUCCUCCACGACCCGGAUGUACUGGCUUUUGACAAUGGAUGCCCUUUUUCAUUAACAUUUCAGCUGUGGUACCAGAAAGGGAAGAUUUGGUGCUCACUUGUCACAUCCUUGGCAAGUCCAGGGAGCGGGACCAAUUGUUAGAGAGAAAAGCUGGAUUCUGGCUAUCGUGGACAGCAGGACCCCGGGCGACCCCUGCAGCUGUCAUUCAGUUCUCUGACCUUUUUGAGGUUCCUGGAGCACUGCCUCCAGAAUGCCUGGUGGCAGCCUUGGGAGCUCCCAGGAAGGGAGGUGAGACCGGCAUGGGAGCAAAGGCUGAGGGGGCUCCUCACCGCGGCGGUGGCCUCUUUCCGCUCCUCUCCUUCCUUUUGAAUAUUCUGGUUUCAUUUUCCACCAAGGGUUGGUACAUUCUAGUGUUGUGGAUCCGGAUGAUGUCAUAGUACUGUUCUCUUGUGUCAUCAGCAUCGAAGCUCGUGCCUUGCAGUCUGCCCUCGAUGUUAUUGUACCUCGUUGUCCAGGAGAUGUUCUCACAGUUCUUGGCUCUGCUUCACUUGAUGCCGGACAAGAGCAAGAUCUUGGUCACCUGGACCAGAAAUAUUGACCUGCUCAGGGAGGACACAGAGGCCAGCAGCCAAUCCGCGGACCUGUGGUAUCCGAACGUUAGCCCCACGCGGGGAGAUGAAAAAGGAGCAAAGGUCGGAGCCGCAGAUGACCGGGAGCCCGGCCGCGUGGGUGCACCUCCCGGGGAGGCCGAAGCGAGGCUUGGCUUCACAGAGCAUGACUUUCUUAGGCCUGUCUUCUAGGAUUUCACCUGAAAAACGAUGGACUUCUCGGUGGUUAUCUGGGACAAGCUGUCCUAAGUUGGAGGGUGCUGAACUCCCGGCCGGCUGCAGUUGGGACGGCAGCGAUCUGUUCUGGGAGCCCGGAGCUUCGCCUCGGUUGUUUGUGACGGCCUUGGCCGCCGCCUCCGGAAGCAUCACGUUGUUCCUCGGGGCCUGCUUUUUUGUGGGGACCCCGCGGCCCCGACUCUGCGGUCGGCCCGUCUCAGGAUAGGACCCCAUCUCCAGGCGUUCGUUGCAGUUUGGGAAGAAGCCCUCCUGAAGGGGGUGAAGGCGCCAGGGAGACCUUUCUCUGGGAAUAGGUGAAGAGAGCACGAAUGGCCAUCUCCAGAGGCUCAUAGAACAGAGAGCUCUUCAUGGCCUCGUGGCGUCCUGCAACUCAGCAAGGAGCUUCCCCUCCUGGUCCCAGCUGAAGAGCAUGAUAUUACAGAGGAGCGAGCUCAGGCGCUCCAGCAGAGCGCGGCCGCAGCCGCCUGGAGGGCCCCGAAGAGAGCCAGCCAGACGUGAUUGGUGCCGAGCAGAUUCGAGGCUGGGGGAGGCAGGAGUCCUUCCUGCUGAGGGGCUGCGCCUUGGGCUUCGGCUCAAACGUCUGCCUCGGCGACUCCUCUGAGAGCCAGGUCUGGCCCAGGAAGAGCCAGAUGUGCGGGUUGGAGAGUUUUCGACCUUGACCCUGCUCAGGCACCAGCUGGGCCGGCCGCCUUGGGUGCUGUCCCACAGCUGGAUGGCCCGGAUGGCCCCCCACGCCAUUUAUAAUGGUCAGGAGCAAGGUGUCGGUGCUGCCCCCGGAGAAGGGGGUGAAGUCGGCGUGACUCGGGAAGUGCUCCUCGCUAGCCUUGCGGGUUCUGUUCCCAGAAGCUGGAGAAAGACGUCGGCCCGGGUGCCGAGCCCAGGUAGCUAGCUCCCUGUGUAGAUGACCAGGUAGCAAAUGUAUUCUGUUUUGUUUUUUUAAGCAAGUUGUAAUCAAUAGAGAUAGGCCGUUUCAUAAAUAGUCUUUUUCUAUUCUAAUACAUACAUGGAAAUAACCAUUUUAUUUGGUGUUUCUUAUGUUCAGAGUAAACAUGAGUUUUAAGAAAUUUGCUGACAAUAUGAUAGUUUACUUUGAAAAUCUUACAGAAUCAGCAAAAAUGGUGAUUGCAACAACCGCUUUAGCAAAGUUGCAGGCUACAAAAUCCUCAGAAAUCAACAUUUCUAUAUAGCGAAAUAUAAGCGCUAAUAGUAAGUAGCGAAAUUCCAUUCCAAAUGCCUAUAAAAUGCAUAAAAUAGCUGGAGACCCAGUCUCCAAAAGCAAGCCAAAGAUUUCUAUGGAUUCAAUUACAAAGAAAUAAAGAAUUUGAAUAAUUGGAGAAAUAUUCAGUGUUCACGACUAGGCCAAAAAAUAAAUAAAUAAAAUAAAAAAUGAAAAUACCAAAAUUUAUACCUUUAGCAUUAUUAAAUGACCAAGGGGAUAAUUUAUAGAACUUGAUAAAAUUCAUUUAGAAAAACAAAAGAUUGAGAUUUUCAAAGGAAGUGGUGAAAAGCAAGGAUAAAAAAGGAAUAACAUUUCCAUUUAUUCAAAAUAAAUCAGUCACCAUCAAAAUCACCUGGUAUUCACUACACACCUGUCAGAUUGUCUAGAAUGACAGGGAAAGAUAACACAGAAUGUUGGAGGGGAUGUGGGAAAACGGGGACACUGAUACAUUGUUGGUGGAACUGUGAACACAUUCAGCCAUUCUGGAGAGCAAUUUGGAAUUAUGCUCAAAAAGUUAUCAAACUGUGCAUACCCUUUGAUCCAGCAGUGUUUCUACUGGGCUUAUACAUAACCCAAAGAGAUACUAAAGAAGGGAAAGGGAUUAUUGUUCUGUAAGAAAUGACCAGCAGGAUGAAUACAGAGAGGCUUGGAGAGACUUACAUGAACUGAUGCUGAGUGAAAUGAGCAGAACCAGGAGAUCAUUAUAUACCUCAGCGACGAUACUGUAUGAGGAUGUAUUCUGAUGGAAGUGGAUUUCUUUGACAAAGAGAUCUAGCUCAGUUUCAGUUGAUCAAGGAUGGACAGAAGCAGCUACACCCAAAGAAAGAACACUAGGAAAUGAAUGUAAACUGCUUGCAUUUUUGUUCUUCUUCCCGGGUUAUUUAUAACUUCUAAAUCCAAUUCUCCCUGAGCAACAAGAGAACUGUUCAGUUCUGCACACAUAUAUUGUAUCUAAGAUCUACUGUAACCUAUUUAACAUGUAUAGGACUGCUUGCCAUCUGGGGA